RNAcentral lists this long non-coding RNA (1071 nucleotides) under Homo sapiens (human). Its description in RNAcentral is "HSALNT0197114". Lineage: Eukaryota; Metazoa; Chordata; Mammalia; Primates; Hominidae. The record is from RNAcentral.
UAGCACCUAGAUCCAGCUAUGCCCAAGGCCCUACUUCCGGAAGAAGAGGAGGAAAUGAAAUCCACAGAAAUCAAUCUGAAAACAUGGGCUGUUCUCCUAGCAAUCCUCAUAUACCUCUGGGGCAGAAAGGAAGCAUAAAAGGCUCACCUCCUUACACCAGGGAACUAACCGUCCAGCUGAGUGAGCAUGGUGCCUGCAUGGGCAAUGAAUGCUGCUUCAAGACAGCACAAAAGUGGAGGCCACGGUACCUAGCCAGCAUUAGGGCUGAAGGAUUUCAGCGAAGUGAGAGGUUUCUGUGGGCUGAGCAGAGCUUCAAGAGAGGAAGCAGGUUUAGAACUCAUGCAAACAUACACACGCACACACACACGGGAGCACUCAACCAAUAUUUGUGCCACCACCUUGUCCUGCAUCCUGCCACAGCUCUGUUUAACCCCCACCCCACGCCAUGCACAGAGUAGGCUUUGCUUUCCAUUAGGAAGACACUCGAGUCACCUGAUUCCCACCUGUCUGUCAAGCGCAGUUCCUGCUGCUCCCAUCACACUCACCUAGACAUGCACACCUGUGGGCCUUUGCAUCCUGCUCACCUGGACAUGUACACCUGUGGGCCUUUACAUCAAGCUUAUCUGAAUGUGCACACCUGUGGGGCAUUUACAUCAUGCUCACCUGGAUGUGCGCACCUGUGGGCCUUUGUAUUAUGCAUGCUUGGAUGCACAGAGAGGAAAACACAAGUUCACGGUGAGGCACAGCAGCAUCAUCGCGACAACAGAAGUAUUCAGAGCAUUUCUGCCUGGGUUCAUAUCUGCGUCUACCUCCUGCUACCUGCGUGACCUUAGCAACCCAGGGUUCCUCAGCUACUAAGGAGAUAACAUCAGUCCAGGCACUUGGCAAGGCUCAGUAAUAUAAUUUGAUCAUUCAUUCAUUCAACACAUAUUGAUUGAGUGCCCACUGAGCACCAAGCACUGUCUGAGGUACUGAGGAUGCAGCAGUGGAAUUAAGCAAUGUUUCUUGCUCCUGUGAAGCUUGCAUUCUAGGGGGCAAAACUCGACAUUCACCGUGGUAAGUAACUGAAAU